GAAUUUACCUGCCCAAUGAUUAUUUUAAUGGCCGCAGUAUUUUAACUGUGCAAAGGUAGCAUAAUCAUUAGUCUAUUAAUUGUGGACUUGUAUGAAUGGUUGGACGAAAUAUUUACUGUCUCUCAUUUUAUUAUAUAAUUUGAAUUUUUGGUUAAAAUGCUUAAAUUUUAUUAUUGGACGAGAAGACCCUAUAGAUCUUUAUUAUUAUUAAUUUUUAUUUGUUUGGAUUGUAAUUUAUUUAUAUUUAUUUUAAUUGUUUUGUUGGGGUGACAUGGGGAGAGGCUUAACUCUUUAUUUUUAUUAUCACUAAUUAGUGUUUUUUUGACCUUUUAUUAAUGUUAUAAGAUAUAGAUACCUUAGGGAUAACAGCGUAAUCUUUUUUGAGAGUUCUUAUCGACAAAAGGUGUUGCGACCUCGAUGUUGGAUUAAGAUUAUAAUUAGGUGUAGUUGCUUAAUUAAUAGGUCUGUUCGACCUUUAAAAUCUUACA
This 488-nucleotide ribosomal RNA is filed under the name Hoploclonia cuspidata cuspidata. RNAcentral's name for it is "partial 16S ribosomal RNA". It matches the Rfam family "Bacterial large subunit ribosomal RNA", at positions 1851 to 2600 of the family's 2925-position model. Lineage: Eukaryota; Metazoa; Arthropoda; Insecta; Phasmatodea; Heteropterygidae. The record is from RNAcentral.